UCCCGCGAGCCUCCCGUCUAGAUGUCUGUCAAGGUCGCCAUAAAGCAACCUAGUCCAUAUGGCGAUAGAAUAAAACGAAGACGCUCAUGUAUAGAUUAUCCGCCGGGGUGAAGAUGGAGUGAAAAGCAUGUGAGAGAGAAGUCGAAAAGAGACGUACAGGCGUAGGGAGCUAAGGGUGUAGAAUAAAAAAUUAGAUUUCUCGGCUUUGUGGAGCCGGUGGACUAGGCACUGCGGCGACUGUCGAGCUUCAAAACAGCCUUGGAAGUAGUGGAAAAAGGCAAAGUGAAGGAAUAUCAGAGUGAACCUGGCAAGUGAGCACACAAUCAAGAAACAUCUGCUGGAAAACUCAGUCUCUAAAACAAAAGUAUUUUUAUAUAUUUAAAAGAAAAUAUUAAAAACAUAAUAUGCUUUUCA
Molecule: long non-coding RNA, 414 nt
Organism: Aethalodelphis obliquidens (Pacific white-sided dolphin)
Lineage: Eukaryota; Metazoa; Chordata; Mammalia; Artiodactyla; Delphinidae
Exons: 2
Source: RefSeq, a predicted model, not a curated record